GAGCCACUCAGGGUCAACGAAGUUGCCACCAGCUUUAACACCAGGGAUCCAAGAUUUCUUUGGUUUAGCAGCAGCCACAACCACAAACUUCCCUGAACCACUUCCCGUUUUAUUUCCUCCAAAACCCAGCAAGGCUUGAGUUCUCUUCCCUCCACACAAGAAGGAAGAUCCCAACCCAUUAAGCAGAGCACCAGAAGUAGCGGCCAUGUCUGCAGAAUCCAAGCGAUUAUAUUACUAUAUUUUAG
RNAcentral lists this unclassified non-coding RNA (245 nucleotides) under Hevea brasiliensis (rubber tree). Lineage: Eukaryota; Viridiplantae; Streptophyta; Magnoliopsida; Malpighiales; Euphorbiaceae. The record is from RNAcentral.